AUCAUAAUGUUUUCACUCUGCCAUUCCAAAUUAUAAAUAUCAGGUGUCAAAGUUAGAGAUUUGUUACUCCCAUUCCUGAAUGGAGAUGCUAAUGGGUUACAAAGUUCCGAUGGCCUGCAUUCUAUGGUAGAAAACUUGCUAUAUUACUGGUACUGUGGUUUAUUUUAUUUCUCAUCUGCUCUAUCUGCUAGAGAACCAAUGUCCUAAUGGCAUGUAUAAUGGGGUGAUGCCAGUCUUGUCUUGGUAAUGCACCAGCCCGGUUAGAGAUGCUCUUUGUCCAUCUGAUUAGUACUUAGCGGCUUGGUGAACACUGAAUAGAAUUAAAAUGAUGUCUAGCUUGUGAGAGAGUUACACAAAGUAAGCCCUGCCCGGAAUACAGGGUAUUUGCCCUGUUCCCAUGGGGAAUAAAAUGGUUCCUGUGAAAUUCUUGCUUUCCAAAGAGGCCCUUAGUUUGAAGAGAUUGGAUUUUGUGCAACCAGUUGCCGACACACCCCAUUAUUCAUUUUUUUUGGAGUUUUCAAAAAAAGUGUAGAACAGUUGAUGGAUUUCAUCCCUGCUUGCAUUUUCAUGCAAUUAUUCUGAGUAGUUCAUUAAGAUAGCUAAACCUAUGGAUAGAUUUUUAUUGGCCAAGCAUAUGGAACUGAUGGUAGCCUGAUGGUGAGCGGAUAAUCCUUGCCUAUUUUAAUGCAGCCAAAUCUGGUUUUACCUGCAUAAUUCUUGCUCAACAUUUGUGCAAAACAAAACAUAUAAUCCUCCUUAAUUGUGAGUUGAAAUGCGGCACAACUGCAAUGUUGGGCUUCGGGCGAUUCAAACGAGUUAUCUUGAGCCUGCAUGUGGGAUAGCAGAAGGUGAUGAUACAGUUGGAUCUGAGUGCACAAAAUGAACUGUUUUGUUUUGUUUCGCAGGCUAGUCUGCCAUCUAAGAUCUCACCGGCCCCUACAAGGUUUUCGGCGCCGGUGCCUUUGCCGGUAGAGAAUUUUGAUAAUGGAUCAACGGAGGAACCCGAGCAUCCUAAUAUGAAGGUAUUUGUAUUUAUCUCUGCAAUUGUUUGGUAGGACACGAGGCUGCUGAUUUUUCGUGCUCCGCAUUGUCCAGUUACGCUUAUGCAGAGGUUUAUUUAUGGUAUUCUAUUGGAUAUGCAUAUGCUGAUGUACAAUAGGAAUGUCUGCAUACUGUGCUAUGUUUUUUACGCACAUAGAAUAUUUGUAUGUCUUAUUAUAGCCUCUAAUUAAAAGUUACUGAUUCACUAGGAAAAUCCACUGAAGGAAUCGGCCCCCUUUCUCCAGGAGGUACAUAUCUAGUGCUGGGCAGGCUUUUUUUAGCAAUUGAAACUUCUAAUUUUAACCUCUACACUUGUGAAGCCUAUUUCCAGUGGUCAUCCUACAAUGAGCCUGAAAAACAACCGCACAUAUCAUGACUCCAAGAUGAUAUAUCCUGACCUGGACGUUGCAUAAGAAAAAGGAAAUGUAACCACCUUUUUUUCUUAGCUUAUGAGAGAAGACAGUUAUAGUAGUAGCAUUCAGGUUUCAUUACUGUGCAUUCAAAAAAAGCAGUCACAAGCACAUGACGACCCUACAUCAUAUUUCCACCAUUUUCUAAGUAAGAAAAAAAAUUUCUACUGUUUUAUCAUUGGUUAUCGUCCGUGCAAUUUUACUAGUUUCCUUGGUCUGAAAGCCUUACCAUCAUUUUCUUCUUGCGCGCGGUAAUGGCAAGAGCAUAUUGUGCAGACGAAGAGGAUGAGAAGAAACUUGUGGUUCUCAUCCAAUCUUCAUGAAACUCUCUUUAUGUGUGUUUGUGCACUUGUUGGGUCCUUUUUUGGUGCGCUUGCACUUGUAGAAGUAUUCUCUUAUGCACAUGUAAAAUUAUUUUGAUGUGCCCUUGUUAGACAUUGAAACUUAAUGCAUGGAGUUGGUGGAUGAUGUAUUGUAUUUGAUGUGAUAUGCUAUUGAAAUGAAAUAUACAUUUUAUUUGCAAUAUUUUAUUUUGUUGUAUUUAUUUUUAAUGGACCUAUCCUGAGAUAUGCGUGCUUCUAGCAAAAUAAUGCUUCAAACCCAAACAAAUCAGACAUUUUCAAUAGUAAAAUAGGUAUUAGGCCAGGCCCAUGUAGGCUAGAUUGGUGGACAGGGAUCUGAAAUUUAUGAUGAUUCCAUUUGGUCACUAGCAAUGCCACGUCAUCUUGGCCACGUCACAUCCUACGUGGC
Molecule: long non-coding RNA, 2201 nt
Filed under: Hordeum vulgare
Lineage: Eukaryota; Viridiplantae; Streptophyta; Magnoliopsida; Poales; Poaceae
Description: long non-coding RNA (HVUL_LNC018780)
Source: RNAcentral